This 494-nucleotide long non-coding RNA is filed under the name Gorilla gorilla gorilla (western lowland gorilla). RNAcentral describes it as "lncRNA (ENSGGOG00000044354.1)". The record is from RNAcentral. Lineage: Eukaryota; Metazoa; Chordata; Mammalia; Primates; Hominidae.
CCUCCCAGGGAACCCUCCUGGCCUGAUGCCCGCCCUCUCCCUAGAGCACCUCAUGAAGCUUUCCUGGAGCACUGUCUGGGAGUUUCAGGAGCGACUCUCUCAGAGCUGGGCCCUGGAGGACAACGCGGUCCUCAGGAACCUUCAAACCUCUAUGAAGGAACUCACAAAAAAACACUGGGACCUGCCACCCCCAGGGAGCUUGCUACAAAAUGCACAUUGCUAUACCAUAGCCUGGGGCUUGCAAUCCAAGGCUGGCAAGGAUUCCUGCACGUCAAGGGCCUCAGGUGACUUUCAUGCACACCCAAGUCAGAAGGCUCUCCUGAAUCCUGGAUGUCACCUUCCUGCCCAAAAAAGGAGGAACGAGGGUCAACCAGCAGCAGACCAGUCACAAAAAGAGAUGAAAUCCUGAGGAGAGGAGAAGCUGUCAGUGAGGUCCCUGAAGUUACCCAGGCCCAGAAGAGACACAGCAUCAGCUGACAACUGCAGUAAAUGCC